CCUACGGGUGGCUGCAGUGGGGGAUAUUGGACAAUGGGGGGAACCCUGACCCAGCGACGCCGCGUGAGUGAAGAAGUAUUUCGGUAUGUAAAGCUCUGUCAGCCGGGAAGAAAGAACUGACGGUACCUGACCAAGAAGCCCCGGCUAACUACGUGCCAGCAGCCGCGGUAAUACGUAGGGGGCAAGCGUUAUCCGGAAUUACUGGGUGUAAAGGGAGCGUAGACGGUUAAGUAAGUCUGGAGUGAAAGGCCGGGGCUCAACCCCGGGACUGCUCUGGAAACUAUUUAACUUGAGUGCAGGAGAGGAUAGCGGAAUUCCUAGUGUAGCGGUGAAAUGCGUAGAUAUUAGGAGGAACACCAGUGGCGAAGGCGGCUAACUGGACUGUAACUGACGUUGAGGCUCGAAAGCGUGGGGAGCAAACAGGAUUAGAUACCCCAGUAGUC
RNAcentral lists this ribosomal RNA (443 nucleotides) under uncultured bacterium. Its description in RNAcentral is "partial 16S ribosomal RNA". It matches the Rfam family "Bacterial small subunit ribosomal RNA", at positions 338 to 795 of the family's 1533-position model. The record is from RNAcentral.